Molecule: ribosomal RNA, 329 nt
Filed under: uncultured eukaryote
Lineage: Eukaryota
Description: partial 18S ribosomal RNA
Rfam family: Eukaryotic small subunit ribosomal RNA
Source: RNAcentral
CCCUUAGAUGUCCUGGGCCGCACGCGCGCUACACUGAGUGUCUGAGAUACGAGUCUGCCUGGUCCGGCAAGGUCUAGGUAAUCGCUAAAAGACACAUCAUGCUUGGGAUAGAUUAUUGCAAAUAUUAAUCUUGAACGAGGAAUUCCUAGUAAGCGCAAGUCAACAGCUUGCGUUUAUUACGUCCCUGCCCUUUGUACACACCGCCCGUCGCUACUACUGAUUGGAUGUUUAAGCGAGGUUCUCGAACUGCUAGCGACUUAGCUUCGGUGAGGUCGCAGUGUGGGAAGUGAACCUAGCUUUGGGGUCUAGAGGAAGUAAAAGUCGUAACA